Molecule: transfer RNA, 65 nt
Filed under: Caenis sp. JYZ-2018
Lineage: Eukaryota; Metazoa; Arthropoda; Insecta; Ephemeroptera; Caenidae
Description: tRNA-Ala
Rfam family: tRNA
About the family: Transfer RNA (tRNA) molecules are approximately 80 nucleotides in length. Their secondary structure includes four short double-helical elements and three loops (D, anti-codon, and T loops). Further hydrogen bonds mediate the characteristic L-shaped molecular structure. tRNAs have two regions of fundamental functional importance: the anti-codon, which is responsible for specific mRNA codon recognition, and the 3' end, to which the tRNAs corresponding amino acid is attached (by aminoacyl-tRNA synthetases). tRNAs cope with the degeneracy of the genetic code in two manners: having more than one tRNA (with a specific anti-codon) for a particular amino acid; and 'wobble' base-pairing, i.e. permitting non-standard base-pairing at the 3rd anti-codon position.
Source: RNAcentral
AGGACUGUAGUUAAAUAUAACAUUUGUUUUGCAUACAAAAAGUAUUGAUUACUCAAUCUGUCUUA